Molecule: long non-coding RNA, 252 nt
Filed under: Brassica napus (rape)
Lineage: Eukaryota; Viridiplantae; Streptophyta; Magnoliopsida; Brassicales; Brassicaceae
Description: long non-coding RNA (BNAP_LNC023286)
Source: RNAcentral
UAAAAUGAUCCGGUUAGGUUAAAACGUUCAUUGGUAAAAUUAAAGGUUCGGUACGAUGUGGACGACUGAAAUAUACGUCGCCCGGGUAAAUUAUUCAACAGACGACUAAAAUAUAAGUCGUCCACACCCUAAACACAACCCCUAAACUUAAUUAUCUAAUUAAACACUUCAUAAAACCAAAUCAAACUUGAAAAGUGUUUACUACACACAGAAAUAAACACAUAUAGGUGAAAACUAAUUUUUGAAAAAAAA